GUAGGUGAACCUGCGGAAGGAUCAUUACUAGAGCAAAGGACAGGCAGCGCCCCACAGAAGCUUGCUUCGUGGAGGGCUACCCUACUUCGGUAGGGUUUAGAGCCGUAGCACCUCUCGGAGAAGUGCUGUCCUGAACUCCACCCUUGAAUAAAUUACCUUUGUUGCUUUGGCGGGCCGCCUAGCGCCAGCGGCUUCGGCUGUUGAGUGCCCGCCAGAGGACCACAACUCUUGUUUUUAGUGAUGUCUGAGUACUAUAUAAUAGUUAAAACUUUCAACAACGGAUCUCUUGGUUCUG
Molecule: unclassified non-coding RNA, 295 nt
Filed under: rhizosphere metagenome
Description: partial ribosomal RNA internal transcribed spacer region
Source: RNAcentral